Long non-coding RNA from Herpailurus yagouaroundi (jaguarundi), 1584 nucleotides. RefSeq lists it as uncharacterized. The record is from RefSeq and is a predicted model, not a curated record. The transcript is spliced from 3 exons. NCBI's taxonomy places the organism in Eukaryota, Metazoa, Chordata, Mammalia, Carnivora, Felidae.
CUUAUUACGGAUAUGGAAGGUAUUUGGUUCCAGAAAAUUACAGACUAUACUUGUAGGAGUUUCUCAAAUUUACCUUCUUUCUUUUGUUGGAAAAUAUAACAGGAACUAGGAUGGAAGAAGGUGAGGUGAGGUUAUUUAUAUGGGGAGUGGUAAGGGUCAAAUUGUUCAACUCCUAACCUCCCAUGGCCAUUCCUUUUAUGGAGGAAUUACCUCCAAAGUAGUCUGAACCUGGGAGUAGCAGGAGAGCAGAAAAGACCACUAAACUAAGAAGGCAGGUAUCUGAUGGUAUUAUGAACAGCUUCUCUUCACACCUAAAUAAUAAUUUUAGUGAUCACUGUAUUCUGUUAUGGGUCACAAAGCAAGUCUUUGGUAGCCAACAGACACACACGUAUGUGCGCGCACACACACACACACACACACACACCCCUUCCAAAGACUAUAAUGUCACAGGAGCUAAGGUUAUCACCUCAAAGGUGAUGUAAGUCUAUAUCACUUCUUUUUUAAAGGCUGAUACUAAGACUCUACAUAUUUCCUCUCAGUCUCAGCUUGACCGCUGGUUAGUGAAAAAUAAAGAUUUCUGUGUGUUCUACCACCAGAUGCAGCCCUGAAAACAAUGAAGAUGGCAUAGAUUGCACUUUGUGGUCCUCCCACAUCAGCUCUGCACCCAGGCUCACGAAGAAUUUCCAUAUAAAACCCAUCCAGCUGGGAUCAUCUUGAGAACGUUUUCUGUCUUGCACGUUACCAUUCGCCUCAGUCUACAAAUAUCUUGCCCUGAGACUCAUUCUGGAAGGGUCCUGGCUUUAGCUUUAACUUUACUUAAGAAAACAAGAACACCCACAAUGACUGUCAUAGGAAACCAUCAGUGCUCUUCAUGAACUGCCAUAGGACCUUCCCACAGGUUUCCUUUCUGCCUGGAAAGCUCUCCUCCCUCCCGCCUCCAAGCCUUGCCUCACCCCUUCUCAGCCCAGUUCAGACACCACCUUGCUGUCACCUCGCUACCUGAGAAACCUUCUCUGACCCCUGACUAAACCAGUGAAGAAAAUCAGAAAGUCCAGAAGCAGAUGCCGGAUAGUUUUUCUACAGGGACACGGUUCCAGAACUUUCCCCUCCUGCCAACAUUCUCUGGGAGAAGCCAUAACCUUGGUCCCAAGCCAGGAAGGUGGCUGACCUGGUACCACCAUGCUCACUGUGGGGCACACACACAUGGAAGAGGAAGUUGCUCCAGACACUACGAUGUCAUGUCAAUAGGACAGUGUCAGGGUCAGGUAGACCCUGUCCAGUAAUGAGAGAAGCAGAUCAGCAGCCUCAUAUGUCUACAGUCAUAUGAUGGGAGUCACUGUGGCUCAGUGUGUAGCCAGUGUAUGGCACUAGAUCAGAACUCUGGCUCAUGCAAACGACUUCUGACCACAUUACUGCUGUAUAGAAAUGAACAGCACUGAUACAUUCUGGAACUAAAGAAUCAUAAGGAAAGUGAGAACACAACCUACAAAGAUACUAUAAUUACAGCUUCCUUCAAACACCAUGUCUACUAUAAUCCUAAAUUUCUCCAGCUUUUCCUGAGGAUCAUGGAGCAUUAGAAAUUAA